Long non-coding RNA from Oncorhynchus masou masou (cherry salmon), 1655 nucleotides. RefSeq lists it as uncharacterized. Lineage: Eukaryota; Metazoa; Chordata; Actinopteri; Salmoniformes; Salmonidae. The record is from RefSeq and is a predicted model, not a curated record. The transcript is spliced from 3 exons.
CCGUGUUUAAUGUAACAGCUGUGUGUGUGGGACAGUCUACCAGGACCGACCCAGUCCACUCUGAGAUACCUGUCCUCAGAGGCCUUUGUCCUGCCGCUGAUACUGGCGCAGAUUGUUGUCCUGACCUCCUUUGAGUCGUGGAGGAGAGCCAGUGGGAAAAGCCAUUGAGAGACUGAAGGACAUGCUGGUGAUGAGCACCUCAGAUAAGCAUUUUCUGCUGAAGCAGCACACUCUCUCACUCAGACGCCAGAAGAAAACCUUCAAGGCGCCCACCACUGUUUCAGGCACUAGAGAGGGCAGCUCUACCACCAUGAAAGACCCCUCAGCAGGCAUCGGAGAGGACAGCCAUAUCGCUCAACUGAAGGACCCCUCUGCACAGCCUACAGGCAAUGACAGCCCAUCAUAAAGAUAGAUAGAGGACUCUAGAGCCCAACAGAGAGUUUUAGCAUGUGCAGCGACAUUCGGGACUUUCACCAUUCUGAAGUAAUCAACUGAGUGGAACUACCUAUGGUUUAAGAAAGCAUCACUUGAUUCCAUCCAGGUCAUCAGGAGGGUUCAACCAAUGAAUUAUCCUCGUGAGGAAACAUUCCAUAACUGCAGGUGGCUGUAAAUGGCCAACAUUGGCUUUACACCUGUUGAAACAACACCCUCCAGGUGGCAGGAUGCACCCUUUCAGUUUGUUUACCAACUCAUAGAAGUAGUAGAAGAAGAAAAUGAACUAGUUUGAAAUGAAGAUUUCCUCCAUGGCUCUUCCCAUGCUCCCACAGACGCCCUAUUGGGACAGAUACAAUGUUGUGUUCUCUAACUAUCUCUAUGCAGCCCAUAGAGUUAGAAAUAGAGCCCACCACCUAUCAUUGUGCCAAAUGCACCCUCUAUCCAACUCUAUGGAGCAGACAUUGCCAAAUUGCACCCUAUUCCAUAUUUAGCGCACAAAAGUAGUAGCAGAUGUGACCUUUGAGCUUUUUUGUCACUCCCUAACAUUGAGUUUAUUGCUCUGGGCUGUACCUACAUGUCAUAUACAGUAUUCAGAACAACACGCGUGUCAGUUACAGAACUUGUGUUACUGUAGUGAUGUGUUUAGUGGCUAUGAUGCAGUUGUAAAAGCUUCAUUCUCAGGUGUGUUGUAUGAUCGGGGAUGAUGUUGCUAUAUAGGCUGUACUUGGAAACAGCGUUAAGGACAGAGUACUACUAAUGUGUACUGUUAGAAUACUGAUGUGUUUAAUGGUUUUAUAUAUGCAGUGGGGAGAACAAGUAUUUGAUACACGGCCGAUUCUGCAGGUUUUCCUACUUACAAAGCAUGUAGAGGUCUGUAAUUUUUUAUCAUAGGUACAAAAUCCAGAAAAUCACAUUGUAUGAUUAUGUAAUUAAUUUGCAUUUUAUUGCUCACAGUUGAAGUGUACCUAUGAUACAAAUUACAGACCUCUACAUGCUUUGUAAGCAGGAAAACCUGCAGAAUCGGCCGUGCAUCAAAUACUUGUUCUCCCCACUGUUUAUGUAAAAGCUCUGACUAUGAAGUAGAUGUUGUCUCUGCAACAGCUUGAGUUUUUUUUUUAAAUACGUUUUUAAACAAAUUGAUCAAAUACUGUUUUUAAAUGUGAACUUCUAUGAAUGCCGUUUUAAAAGAGCUUCUAUUAAAAGCCUGUGUUGUUACGUCA